CAAUUAUAGGAGCUCUGACGAGUUUUGCCCAGAAGCCUAGCAAGGUGAAAUUGGUGUUUUAGGGAGGUAUGUCAGGCUUGGCCUUGGCUUGGGAGGAAGAACAGAAGUCAUAUGCCAUGAAGUCUUCCGUGGGUUGGUUGCAGUGCAACACCCUGAAUUACAGGCUAAAUGUCUACAGUAGUCAGAGGCUUGCUGAGAGCCGACAUGAUGUUCCCAUGAGCAGGAUGAAUCACUACAAUCCUGAUGGAAAUAGGUUUUCGAGGAGGUCUGAUUACUUUGGGAUCAAACUCAGGACCUUGCACUUGAGAGGCAGGUGGCAGAACCACUGAGCUAAAUCCCUGGCCCAGGAAAAAGGUUUGAAACCUGUGACAUUUUUGUCUUCACUGGCCAUCUCGCUGAUUUUCACCAGGACAGACUGACACACUUGGAGAAGCUUAAUCCACACACCAUAGUCCCCACUGAUUUUAUGGAAACCAAUUCUGUUCCUUCAGAAGAUACAUGAGCUGUCGGCACAUGCCAGAGGUCACAGUGCUGUCUUGCUGACCAAAGGGACUCACAACUGGAUAAAAUGUCAUGUUUGCAUGCCUGUAGGUAGGCACAUCUCACCUGUUUUUUACAGUCUUCCAAUCCUUUGUUCUACCUUUUCCCCACACAGUGUCCUACUGCAUGAACCCUGAGGCUGUUUAGAUUUGUGAACUGUAACUUAAAUAUUGCCUUAAAACCUGUAUGAUAGAUAUGAACUUCCUGUUAUAUAAUCUCAUCCCCGACUGUAAAGAUGGCCAAAAUUAAUUUUCUUUCAAAUUUCAUUCUAGGGGCUGG
This 819-nucleotide long non-coding RNA is filed under the name Heterocephalus glaber (naked mole-rat). RNAcentral describes it as "lncRNA (ENSHGLG00100031689.2)". The record is from RNAcentral. Lineage: Eukaryota; Metazoa; Chordata; Mammalia; Rodentia; Bathyergidae.